UAGCGGGCGGAGCACGCGAACUUCGUUAGGGAAGGUUGGGUUUGAUAGUGCUAUAUAUACCGUGGGUUGAAGCUUGGUUGUAUUUAGACAAGGUGUAUAAAUCAAGCUCGGAUCCGAUGGAGCAAGCUAGCCGAAGCACACGGUACAGGUAUUAUAAGCAGAGUAUAAGUCAGUAUGCAACAAACAUGCGGGCUGAGCAGGGCGAGGAAGAUGGAAAGAUGGAGUUUCAACCUGUCGCCACCAAUGGUGCAGCAAACAUGGCUACAGCAGAAAUUCAAUCUGUCCCAGCUGACAUGUUGAUGUGUGAGCUUGCUGGAGGAGAUGAGGAAUUGGAUCAGAUUGUUGAUGAUGCCUUUGAUAAUGACCUGGUUUUGAGCGACUGUUCCAUCUCUGAUGGUGAUUCAGAACCUGAUGUCUUUGAAGACUGUCAGGGCAAUGAAGAGUGUGCAGACUCUGAUGGUGACCUUAGUGGCCCUGGACUGAGGCGCAAGAUUGCUACAUGGGCGAUUGAUUAUGGUAUAUCACAUGCAGCCCUGACUGCAUUGCUACUGAUUCUAAGUGCUCACUCCGCUCUAAAUUUACCCAAACAUGUGGCAACCCUGCUGGCAACGCAUCAGCUUGAAAAGCCUCUUGUCAUGGGUGGAGGAGAAUAUCAUUUCUUUGGCCUAUCAAACACGAUAAGAGGUCUGUUGAAAAAGCUACCGAAUCUGCCAACUGUGAGCACGCUUCAACUUCAAGUCAAUAUUGAUGGUUUACCUCUUUUUCGUAGCUCACAAGUGGUGGUGUGGCCUAUUUUAGGAAAGAUAAAAAAUGUUUCCAAAGAUGUGUUCACAAUAGCACUGUUCUGUGGCAAACAAAAACCACCUCUUCAUGCCUACUUGAAAGAUUUUAUCCUGGACUGCAAGACUCUAUGUGAACACGGACUCGCAUAUGGUCAAAAAACUUUUACAGUUGUACUAGACAGUGUAAUGUGUGAUGCACCAGCAAGGGCAUUUCUGAAGUGUAUUAAAGGACACUCCGGUUAUUAUUCUUGUGAACGAUGUGAGACGAGAGGAUUGUACGUUUCUGGACGCCUGACAUUCCCUGAAGUGAAUGCAGCCAGAAGAACUCAUCAAUCAUUUGAGUCUAUGAAUAAUGAGCCUCAUCAUCAUGAGCCCUCUCCACUUCUGGCAUUGCCGUUGGACAUGGUCCGAAAUAUACCUCUGGACUACAUGCAUCUGUGCUGCUUAGGUGUGAUGAAACUUAUGAUACGACUUUGGCUAUGUGGCCCUUUAGUAGCACGCUUUCCAGCUCGUACUGUAGAACUUAUAUCUGAUAGACUGUGUGCCCUUCGUUCGCAAAUUCCUGUCGAGUUUGCCCGUAAACCUCGCAGUCUCUAUGAGUUUCGAAUUUGGAAAGCUACAGAGCUCCGACAGUUUAUGCUGUACACAGGCAUCAUUGUUCUCAGGGGAGCCGUCCCCGGGGAAAUGUAUGACCUAUUCUUGCUGUACUCUAGUGCAAUGACUAUAUUGUUAUCGGACAAGUUGGCUAAGGAACAUGCUAGUUAUGCUGGAGAGCUUCUUGUGACAUUUGUGAAAAAUUUCGGCAUAUUGUUCGGGAACGCAUAUGUUGGUUACAAUGUACACGGCCUUGUGCAUUUAGCAGAUGACGCUGUUACUUAUGGAGGUUUGGAUUCUGUUUCUUGCUUUCCAUAUGAAAGCUACUUGUACCAACUCAAACGAGCUGUGCGUCGCCCGAAUUCCCCCGCCAUCCAGCUAAUGAAGCGUAUAGCUGAAAGGGAUGUGUAUGGCAGUAGGCAUGUCCUGAAAAAAGCACACAGGUUGACAAAGGCACACGCGGAUGGUCCAGUUCCACACGGCACUGCUCGUGUCCAGAAUCAGUACCAUAAGCUUGUAGGCAAUCUGACACUGUCGACAUCUGUGGGUGAUAACUGUGUUCUGGUCAAUGGUAAUUGUGUAGCACUUAUCCGAAACAUACUGAAAACUACUGACGAUACUGUGCUCGUCAUACAGCGUUUCCGAUCGCACGAACCAUUCUACACUUACCCUUUUGAUUCAUCAAAGUUGGGUAUUUACAAAGUGCACACCCUCUCGCAGUGUUGUGAAACAGUAUCGAUUGACACAAUGAAUGUAGUUCAGAAAUGCGUUCUAGCCAACGGUAGUCUCGAUGCCACGUAUCAUGUGUGUGUACCAGUCAUCCAUGACCAUUUUGAUUAUACUGCCUCAACUUAGCACUGUGUGUGAUCAUGGUAUGUGCUGUGAGUAUCUGAUGGUGUAUGUCCUUGAUGGAACACGCUGACCUAUAAGAGUUCCUGCAGUGCCAUUGAGUGACACUGUAAAAUGUUAUGUUCCAAUCCCUUCGUUUAGGUGUAACAUGUUUCGGGUCGUCGCGUUUUCCGACGCGCCCGAAGUAGCCGUCGUUAGUAAGAAAUGGUGGUCAGGUGAAGAAGAUGAGGCGACUCGAAAACCGCGAGGCUUCGUAUUCUGGCCCCCUUGCAAGACGAGUGGGGCCGUCGACCGCCUCCUGAAGGCUCACGCGGAGCCUGUCAGAACGGGGACCGGGCAGUGGACCAGGCACCCGGCAACUUCACUGUUCGCUACAGAUGAUUUACUUCUGGCAAGAAGGAAGGCGCAGAAGGCCGAAGAGGAGAGCGAUCUCACCAGCGAGGCUGAAGCUGUCGAAGCAACUACCCGUAUAAGGAGGAGGAAUCCACGUUUUGAUGACGAUUCAGAUGAAGAAACCGGAACCCGUGCUCGAAGGGAGCCAACUGGACUUUCUCGUCCACCACCCGCUCCACGAACCUUUGGCUUAGACGGUUCUGGGGGGCAAGGCACUUCCCUGAGUAGGCCUGCGAAUUCAUCACCAAGUGUCCAGACCGCCAGCGUUCCAGCGAGUACGCCAACGAGUGCUCCCAGACAGCCGUCAGAUGCUCGUCAAACUGUCAUUCUGGGGAAGAUAUUGAAGACGGUCGAAGGCAUACUAAACGUCGUCAAACAGAACGGAGCCAACAUCGAAGCGCUGCGGGCGGAGAUCUCCAAUUCCCAGACAAGACCCCGGAGGAUGGCGCCACUCCAAACCCUUGCGGAGCUGGAUGAGCUGGACAAGCAGCUGCACUCGCAGAGGGCCUUCUUUAACGAGGUGGUGGAGCAACUCAGCGCGUGUUGCACCAUGGCCCGAUCGGACCUGGAGCGGAACGUCCGUUCUGUAAUGCGCGGCACUGUGUCGGCCGAUCUGUCCGAGCACCUUUCCCUGAAAGGGAAGAAUGGGAAGAGGGCUAUAGCGGAAACCGUCCUCUUCGACGUUAUCUGCGUUUGGGUGGCUUUUCUGGCAGAGACACUGAGACGCUGCGGUGGCGCCAACCGAGACGCCGUCGGGAGGUGCGUGGGCCUCUGGCUCUCCGGCAGCCGGGAUCGGAACGGCAAACGUCUCCGAAGGCUCUCAAAAACCAAGGAGGCAGCUGGCCCGUCAGUGGCAGGCCAGGCCCCGACCGACCGACCUCCACUGCAGCCGGUGGAGAACCUCGAGACGCUGGAGGUCCGGCAGCCUGACUUCGAAACCCGCCAGGCUGAAGCCGAAGAGGCUGAAGCCGAAGAGGCUGAAGCCGAAGAGGCUGAACUCCCCAUGGAGCAAUGGUAGAUGGAGGAUACCAGCGCGGCGGUGUAUAUACGUAUAGUCAAGUGUUGAGCAAUACAUUACAA
This 3698-nucleotide unclassified non-coding RNA is filed under the name Amphibalanus amphitrite. RNAcentral's name for it is "uncharacterized LOC122367648, transcript variant X7". The record is from RNAcentral. Lineage: Eukaryota; Metazoa; Arthropoda; Thecostraca; Balanomorpha; Balanidae.